RNAcentral lists this ribosomal RNA (1550 nucleotides) under Salmonella enterica. Its description in RNAcentral is "bacterial SSU rRNA". It matches the Rfam family "Bacterial small subunit ribosomal RNA". Lineage: Bacteria; Pseudomonadati; Pseudomonadota; Gammaproteobacteria; Enterobacterales; Enterobacteriaceae. The record is from RNAcentral.
AAAUUGAAGAGUUUGAUCAUGGCUCAGAUUGAACGCUGGCGGCAGGCCUAACACAUGCAAGUCGAACGGUAACAGGAAGCAGCUUGCUGCUUCGCUGACGAGUGGCGGACGGGUGAGUAAUGUCUGGGAAACUGCCUGAUGGAGGGGAUAACUACUGGAAACGGUGGCUAAUACCGCAUAACGUCGCAAGACCAAAGAGGGGGACCUUCGGGCCUCUUGCCAUCAGAUGUGCCCAGAUGGGAUUAGCUUGUUGGUGAGGUAACGGCUCACCAAGGCGACGAUCCCUAGCUGGUCUGAGAGGAUGACCAGCCACACUGGAACUGAGACACGGUCCAGACUCCUACGGGAGGCAGCAGUGGGGAAUAUUGCACAAUGGGCGCAAGCCUGAUGCAGCCAUGCCGCGUGUAUGAAGAAGGCCUUCGGGUUGUAAAGUACUUUCAGCGGGGAGGAAGGUGUUGUGUUAAUAACCGCAGCAAUUGACGUUACCCGCAGAAGAAGCACCGGCUAACUCCGUGCCAGCAGCCGCGGUAAUACGGAGGGUGCAAGCGUUAAUCGGAAUUACUGGGCGUAAAGCGCACGCAGGCGGUCUGUCAAGUCGGAUGUGAAAUCCCCGGGCUCAACCUGGGAACUGCAUUCGAAACUGGCAGGCUUGAGUCUUGUAGAGGGGGGUAGAAUUCCAGGUGUAGCGGUGAAAUGCGUAGAGAUCUGGAGGAAUACCGGUGGCGAAGGCGGCCCCCUGGACAAAGACUGACGCUCAGGUGCGAAAGCGUGGGGAGCAAACAGGAUUAGAUACCCCGGUAGUCCACGCCGUAAACGAUGUCUACUUGGAGGUUGUGCCCUUGAGGCGUGGCUUCCGGAGCUAACGCGUUAAGUAGACCGCCUGGGGAGUACGGCCGCAAGGUUAAAACUCAAAUGAAUUGACGGGGGCCCGCACAAGCGGUGGAGCAUGUGGUUUAAUUCGAUGCAACGCGAAGAACCUUACCUGGUCUUGACAUCCACAGAAGAAUCCAGAGAUGGAUUUGUGCCUUCGGGAACUGUGAGACAGGUGCUGCAUGGCUGUCGUCAGCUCGUGUUGUGAAAUGUUGGGUUAAGUCCCGCAACGAGCGCAACCCUUAUCCUUUGUUGCCAGCGGUUAGGCCGGGAACUCAAAGGAGACUGCCAGUGAUAAACUGGAGGAAGGUGGGGAUGACGUCAAGUCAUCAUGGCCCUUACGACCAGGGCUACACACGUGCUACAAUGGCGCAUACAAAGAGAAGCGACCUCGCGAGAGCAAGCGGACCUCAUAAAGUGCGUCGUAGUCCGGAUUGGAGUCUGCAACUCGACUCCAUGAAGUCGGAAUCGCUAGUAAUCGUGGAUCAGAAUGCCACGGUGAAUACGUUCCCGGGCCUUGUACACACCGCCCGUCACACCAUGGGAGUGGGUUGCAAAAGAAGUAGGUAGCUUAACCUUCGGGAGGGCGCUUACCACUUUGUGAUUCAUGACUGGGGUGAAGUCGUAACAAGGUAACCGUAGGGGAACCUGCGGUUGGAUCACCUCCUUACCUUAAAGAA